Molecule: ribosomal RNA, 1377 nt
Filed under: Lactiplantibacillus pentosus
Lineage: Bacteria; Bacillati; Bacillota; Bacilli; Lactobacillales; Lactobacillaceae
Description: Lactobacillus pentosus 16S ribosomal RNA
Rfam family: Bacterial small subunit ribosomal RNA
Source: RNAcentral
GAGUGGCGAACUGGUGAGUAACACGUGGGAAACCUGCCCAGAAGCGGGGGAUAACACCUGGAAACAGAUGCUAAUACCGCAUAACAACUUGGACCGCAUGGUCCGAGUUUGAAAGAUGGCUUCGGCUAUCACUUUUGGAUGGUCCCGCGGCGUAUUAGCUAGAUGGUGGGGUAACGGCUCACCAUGGCAAUGAUACGUAGCCGACCUGAGAGGGUAAUCGGCCACAUUGGGACUGAGACACGGCCCAAACUCCUACGGGAGGCAGCAGUAGGGAAUCUUCCACAAUGGACGAAAGUCUGAUGGAGCAACGCCGCGUGAGUGAAGAAGGGUUUCGGCUCGUAAAACUCUGUUGUUAAAGAAGAACAUAUCUGAGAGUAACUGUUCAGGUAUUGACGGUAUUUAACCAGAAAGCCACGGCUAACUACGUGCCAGCAGCCGCGGUAAUACGUAGGUGGCAAGCGUUGUCCGGAUUUAUUGGGCGUAAAGCGAGCGCAGGCGGUUUUUUAAGUCUGAUGUGAAAGCCUUCGGCUCAACCGAAGAAGUGCAUCGGAAACUGGGAAACUUGAGUGCAGAAGAGGACAGUGGAACUCCAUGUGUAGCGGUGAAAUGCGUAGAUAUAUGGAAGAACACCAGUGGCGAAAGCGGCUGUCUGGUCUGUAACUGACGCUGAGGCUCGAAAGUAUGGGUAGCAAACAGGAUUAGAUACCCUGGUAGUCCAUACCGUAAACGAUGAAUGCUAAGUGUUGGAGGGUUUCCGCCCUUCAGUGCUGCAGCUAACGCAUUAAGCAUUCCGCCUGGGGAGUACGGCCGCAAGGCUGAAACUCAAAGGAAUUGACGGGGGCCCGCACAAGCGGUGGAGCAUGUGGUUUAAUUCGAAGCUACGCGAAGAACCUUACCAGGUCUUGACAUACUAUGCAAAUCUAAGAGAUUAGACGUUCCCUUCGGGGACAUGGAUACAGGUGGUGCAUGGUUGUCGUCAGCUCGUGUCGUGAGAUGUUGGGUUAAGUCCCGCAACGAGCGCAACCCUUAUUAUCAGUUGCCAGCAUUAAGUUGGGCACUCUGGUGAGACUGCCGGUGACAAACCGGAGGAAGGUGGGGAUGACGUCAAAUCAUCAUGCCCCUUAUGACCUGGGCUACACACGUGCUACAAUGGAUGGUACAACGAGUUGCGAACUCGCGAGAGUAAGCUAAUCUCUUAAAGCCAUUCUCAGUUCGGAUUGUAGGCUGCAACUCGCCUACAUGAAGUCGGAAUCGCUAGUAAUCGCGGAUCAGCAUGCCGCGGUGAAUACGUUCCCGGGCCUUGUACACACCGCCCGUCACACCAUGAGAGUUUGUAACACCCAAAGUCGGUGGGGUAACCUUUUAGGAACCAGCCGC